RNAcentral lists this ribosomal RNA (414 nucleotides) under uncultured microorganism. RNAcentral's name for it is "bacterial SSU rRNA". It matches the Rfam family "Archaeal small subunit ribosomal RNA", at positions 459 to 872 of the family's 1478-position model. The record is from RNAcentral.
CAGCCGCCGCGGUAAUACCGGCGGCCCGAGUGGUGGCCGCUAUUAUUGGGCCUAAAGCGUCCGUAGCCGGGCUGGUAAGUCCUCCGGGAAAUCUGGUCGCUUAACGAUCAGACUUCCGGAGGAUACUGCUGGCCUAGGGACCGGGAGAGGCCGAGGGUAUUCCCGGGGUAGGGGUGAAAUCCUGUAAUCCCGGGAGGACCACCUGUGGCGAAGGCGCUCGGCUGGAACGGGUCCGACGGUGAGGGACGAAGGCCAGGGGAGCGAACCGGAUUAGAUACCCGGGUAGUCCUGGCGGUAAACGAUGCGGACUAGGUGUCGGGCAAGCUAAGGGCUUGUCCGGUGCCGCAGGGAAGCCGUUAAGUCCGCCGCCUGGGGAGUACGGCCGCAAGGCUGAAACUUAAAGGAAUUGGCGGG